This 534-nucleotide ribosomal RNA is filed under the name uncultured bacterium. RNAcentral describes it as "bacterial SSU rRNA". It matches the Rfam family "Bacterial small subunit ribosomal RNA", at positions 976 to 1509 of the family's 1533-position model. The record is from RNAcentral.
UGGCCUUGACAUACUAAGAACUUUCCAGAGAUGGAUUGGUGCCUUCGGGAACUUAGAUACAGGUGCUGCAUGGCUGUCGUCAGCUCGUGUCGUGAGAUGUUGGGUUAAGUCCGCAACGAGCGCAACCCUUUUCCUUAUUUGCCAGCGGGUAAUGCCGGGAACUUUUAAGGAUACUGCCAGUGACAAACUGGAGGAAGGCGGGGACGACGUCAAGUCAUCAUGGCCCUUACGGCCAGGGCUACACACGUGCUACAAUGGUCGGUACAAAGGGUUGCUACCUCGCGAGAGGAUGCUAAUCUCAAAAAGCCGAUCGUAGUCCGGAUCGCAGUCUGCAACUCGACUGCGUGAAGUCGGAAUCGCUAGUAAUCGCGGAUCAGAAUGCCGCGGUGAAUACGUUCCCGGGCCUUGUACACACCGCCCGUCACACCAUGGGAGUUUGUUGCACCAGAAGUAGGUAGUCUAACCGCAAGGAGGACGCUUACCACGGUGUGGCCGAUGACUGGGGUGAAGUCGUAACAAGGUAAGCGUAGAUGA